GUAGGCAUAGUUUAAUAAAAACCUUAGAUUGUGAUUCUAAAAAUAGGGGUUAGACUCCUCUUGUCCACC
Molecule: transfer RNA, 69 nt
Filed under: Parioglossus formosus (beautiful hover goby)
Lineage: Eukaryota; Metazoa; Chordata; Actinopteri; Gobiiformes; Gobiidae
Description: tRNA-His
Rfam family: tRNA
About the family: Transfer RNA (tRNA) molecules are approximately 80 nucleotides in length. Their secondary structure includes four short double-helical elements and three loops (D, anti-codon, and T loops).
Source: RNAcentral